Molecule: ribosomal RNA, 468 nt
Filed under: uncultured bacterium
Lineage: Bacteria
Description: partial 16S ribosomal RNA
Rfam family: Bacterial small subunit ribosomal RNA
Source: RNAcentral
GACGAACGCUGGCGGCGUGCUUAACACAUGCAAGUCGAACGGAAAGGCCCUGCUUUUGUGGGGUGCUCGAUUGGCGAACGGGUGAGUAACACGCGAGUAUCCUGUCCUUGACUUUGGGAUAACUUCAGGAAACUGGGGCUAUUACCGGAUAGGAGCUCUUGCUGCACGGUGGGGGUUGGAAAGUUUCGGCGGUUGGGGCUGGACUCGCGGCUUAUCAGCUGGUUGGUGGGGUAGUGGAUUACCAAGGCUUUGACGGGUAGCCGGCCUGAGAGGGUGACCGGCGACCUUGGGACUGCGAUACGGCGCAGACUCCUACGGGAGGCAGCAGUGGGGAAUAUUGCGCAAUGGGCGGAAGCCUGAUGCAGCAACGCCGCGUGCGGGAUGACGGCCUUCGGGUGGUAAACCGAUUUCGACUGUGACGAAGCGUGAGUGACGGUAAUGGGUAAAGAAGCACCGGCUAACUACGUG